AGAAGCCCGGACCUGGCCUGGCACAUAGAAGCCACCGAAGGGGUCCUGUGCCAAGGACAAACAGGAACGCCCACCCAGUGGGCGGGCCGUCCGUGGUCCAGAACUGGCAGGCCACUGACAAAUAUCCUCUGAGUAAAACUAAGGAAGGACGUCAGCUAUCAUCAGGGGGACUUGUGUGCCCCAGAGCCUACAGGGUGCUCAGGGACUGCAAGAAGAUCUUCCUUCCAGAAACAUUCAGUGGCACCUCCCCUUCUCCGACACUCUGCCGGGCCAUGGAAUUGCAGAGAAGAACGGGAGGGGGCCCUUGCCCUGAAGAACUCACAGAUCUGGAGGCUGGAAGUCCAAGAUCAAGGUGCCAGCGGGAUGGUUUCUGAUGGUGAUGAUGGCAGUUUCCAACCCUAUGAACAAUGUCUCCGAAACCUCCAAGACACACUAUAGGGCACAGAGGUGCCACCACUUCCCA
This 463-nucleotide long non-coding RNA is filed under the name Equus asinus (donkey). RNAcentral's name for it is "lncRNA (ENSEASG00005033204.1)". The record is from RNAcentral. Lineage: Eukaryota; Metazoa; Chordata; Mammalia; Perissodactyla; Equidae.